Gorilla gorilla gorilla (western lowland gorilla) is the source of this 1592-nucleotide long non-coding RNA. RefSeq lists it as uncharacterized. The transcript is spliced from 3 exons. Lineage: Eukaryota; Metazoa; Chordata; Mammalia; Primates; Hominidae. The record is from RefSeq and is a predicted model, not a curated record.
UGUUUUCUUCCCAGGGGGAAAUAAAGGAAGAGGUGGUUCCAUUCUGGAGCUGAGAGAGACCAUGAGGAACAGGAAGAAACAGGCUUGGCUGUGGCCCAACCAGGUGUGCGCCCCCACCACCAAAAAAAAUAUGAACAUGGUCCCUGGGAGUCAUUUUCUUUCAUCAUCCACAAAUAAGAAAAGAUGUUGCUACAUUAGCUCCAAGAUAGCUCUUUCCACAAUGGGAAAUUUCUGCUGACAGUCGCUAAGGAAACACAGGCCCACUGGGCGGGGCUCUCGGCCAGCAUCUUGAAGGAAUAGGUCCUUCUGUCACGGGGCACAGGACCCUUGACCGCAAAAUGACGUGAGUUACCACUGACCAUUUUCUGGGUUUUGAUCUUGUGACUCCAAAUGGAUGGUAAGCUCCUUAAGGGAAAGUCUAUGAUAUUCAUCCAACCAUCCAUCCAUCCUUUCAUCCACCCAACCAUCCAUCCAUCUGACCAUCAUCCAUCCAUCCAUCCAUCCAUCUAUCCAUCUUCUAUCCAUCUGUCUACUCACCCAUCCACCCAUCCAUUCAAUUAUUCAUCCAUCCCUCUUCCAUCCAUUCACCCAUCUUCCAUCCAUCUGUCCACCCAUCCAUUCCACCAUUUAUCCAUCCAACCACCAUCUAUUCAUCCAACCACUCGUCUAUUCAUCCCUCUGACCAUCCAACCAUCCAUCGAUUUGUUCAAUUAUUUUAUCAAGCAUCUACACUGCACCACACACCCUAAUGGGUGUUGGGGAGAAAAUGGAGAGUAAAAUCAGAUGGGACCUCUGACCUCAGUGCAGCUAACCGUCAGUCCGGUAGAGGAGACACGUAAACUGACAAUUACAAAUAAACACAAUGUGUCAACUCUGACAAGUGCUGUGAGGGAGAAAUCAGCAGUACUGCGAAAGCCUUUAUGGUCCUGGUGUGAGAGGCGGGAUGAGUCCAACACAGCAACAGCAGCAAGACCGUGGGGGAGUGUGGUGCAGAUGGGCAGGUGUACAGAGCCUGCGGGCCAUGUCUGCCAGCCCUCUCUUUGUGCAUUAGCAACAGUAAAACGGGGCUUGUGUUUGGGCAGAUUAUACCACUGGUCUUGCAUCCCAAACGUCUCUUUGUUCACUCAUUUAUACAAACAUGCUCAAUAAUAUUUAUGCAUUUUUACUGUGACAUCAUUUUCUUAUAUAAUAAAAGUGUCUAUUUAUAUACCGUAUAUGUAUAUAUAUAAUACACAGAUGCACACACACAAGCACAUAUGCACAGAGCUUCUUGACAGUCAGUCCCUCAUAAGGUAGUCCACUGCAGUGCAGUCAUCACCAUCCUCAGACCUCAAGAUUAUAUAACUAGAGCACCUUAUAUUUUUAUAUUUUAUUAUGUAUUUAAUAAUCACAUAACUCUUUAGUGAAUGCCAAUUAAUUACGAGAAUGACAUGCCUUCUCUCUGCUCCUCAUAAUAUCCCCCUUAGAUAGAUUUUGUCUCCCCACUUACAAGACGUGGAGACUGGGCCGGGCACGGUGACUCACGCCUGUAAUCCCAGCACUUUGGGAGGAUGAGGCGGGUGGAUCACAUGAGAUCAGGAGUUUGAGACCAU